Molecule: ribosomal RNA, 480 nt
Filed under: uncultured bacterium
Lineage: Bacteria
Description: partial 16S ribosomal RNA
Rfam family: Bacterial small subunit ribosomal RNA
Source: RNAcentral
UGAACGCUGGCGGCAUGCCUUACACAUGCAAGUCGACCGGUAACGCGGGGCAACCUGGCGACGAGUGGCGAACGGGUGAGUAAUGCAUCGGAACGUGCCCAGAAGUGGGGGAUAGCCCGGCGAAAGCCGGAUUAAUACCGCAUGAGACCUGAGGGUGAAAGCGGGGGAUCGCAAGACCUCGCGCUUUUGGAGCGGCCGAUGUCAGAUUAGCUAGUUGGUGGGGUAAAGGCCUACCAAGGCGACGAUCUGUAGCUGGUCUGAGAGGACGACCAGCCACACUGGGACUGAGACACGGCCCAGACUCCUACGGGAGGCAGCAGUGGGGAAUUUUGGACAAUGGGCGCAAGCCUGAUCCAGCCAUGCCGCGUGCGGGAAGAAGGCCUUCGGGUUGUAAACCGCUUUUGUCAGGGAAGAAACGCUCUGGGCUAAUACCCUGGGGUAAUGACGGUACCUGAAGAAUAAGCACCGGCUAACUACGUG